UUAACCGUAUAGGGGAGCCGGAGGGAAACCGAGUCUUAAUUGGGCGUUAAGUUGCAGGGUAUAGACCCGAAACCCGGUGAUCUAGCCAUGGGCAGGUUGAAGGUUGGGUAACACUAACUGGAGGACCGAACCGACUAAUGUUGAAAAAUUAGCGGAUGACCUGUGGCUGGGGGUGAAAGGCCAAUCAAACCGGGAGAUAGCUGGUUCUCCCCGAAAGCUAUUUAGGUAGCGCCUCGUGAAUUCAUCUCCGGGGGUAGAGCACUGUUUCGGCUAGGGGGCCAUCCCGGCUUACCAACCCGAUGCAAACUGCGAAUACCGGAGAAUGUUAUCACGGGAGACACACGGCGGGUGCUAACGUCCGUCGUGAAGAGGGAAACAACCCAGACCGCCAGCUAAGGUCCCAAAGUCAUGGUUAAGUGGGAAACGAUGUGGGAAGGCCCAGACAGCCAGGAUGUUGGCUUAGAAGCAGCCAUCAUUUAAAGAAAGCGUAAUAGCUCACUGGUCGAGUCGGCCUGCGCGGAAGAUGUAACGGGGCUAAACCAUGCACCGAAGCUGCGGCAGCGACGCUGAUGCGUUGUUGGGUAGGGGAGCGUUCUGUAAGCCUGCGAAGGUGGCCUG
RNAcentral lists this ribosomal RNA (618 nucleotides) under Salmonella enterica subsp. enterica serovar Saintpaul. Its description in RNAcentral is "bacterial LSU rRNA". It matches the Rfam family "Bacterial large subunit ribosomal RNA", at positions 646 to 1263 of the family's 2925-position model. The record is from RNAcentral. Lineage: Bacteria; Pseudomonadati; Pseudomonadota; Gammaproteobacteria; Enterobacterales; Enterobacteriaceae.